This 254-nucleotide ribosomal RNA is filed under the name uncultured bacterium. Its description in RNAcentral is "partial 16S ribosomal RNA". It matches the Rfam family "Bacterial small subunit ribosomal RNA", at positions 524 to 776 of the family's 1533-position model. The record is from RNAcentral.
UACGUAGGGUGCAAGCGUUGUCCGGAAUUAUUGGGCGUAAAGAGCUCGUAGGCGGUUUGUUGCGUCGGCUGUGAAAUCCCGAGGCUCAACCUCGGGUCUGCAGUCGAUACGAGCAAACUAGAGUGUUGCAGGGAGACUGGAAUUCCUGGUGAUAGCGGUGAAAUGCGCAGAUAGUCAGGAGGAACACCGGUGGCGAAGGCGGGUCUCUGGGCAACAACUGACGCUGGAGGAGCGAAAGCGUGGGAGCGAACAGG